UACGGGGGGGGCAAGCGUUGUUCGGACUUACUGGGCGUAAAGGGCUCGUAGGCGGCUCGUUAAGUCAGACGUGAAAGCCCUCGGCUUAACCGGGGAACGGCGUCUGAGACUGGCAAGCUUGAAUCCGGGAGAGGGAUGCGGAAUUCCAGGUGUAGCGGUGAAAUGCGUAGAUAUCUGGAGGAACACCGGUGGCGAAGGCGGCAUCCUGGACCGGUAUUGACGCUGAGGAGCGAAAGCCAGGGGAGCAAACGGG
RNAcentral lists this ribosomal RNA (253 nucleotides) under uncultured bacterium. RNAcentral describes it as "partial 16S ribosomal RNA". It matches the Rfam family "Bacterial small subunit ribosomal RNA", at positions 524 to 776 of the family's 1533-position model. The record is from RNAcentral.